This 271-nucleotide unclassified non-coding RNA is filed under the name fungal sp. RNAcentral's name for it is "partial internal transcribed spacer region". The stretch from base 1 to 46 matches the Rfam family "Eukaryotic small subunit ribosomal RNA", at positions 1786 to 1831 of the family's 1831-position model. The record is from RNAcentral. Lineage: Eukaryota; Fungi.
AAGUCGUAACAAGGUAACCGUAGGUGAACCUGCGGUUGGAUCAUUACAAAAUGAUUUUCCUUGGUUGUUGAGCUCUGCCUCACGGUGGAGUUCCGACCGAGGGACUAACCCUUUGUGCACUAAUUAUCAAUUUUGGGUAGUAUCGGUCCUCGCAGUCAAGUUUACUUGAUUGCUUGUGCUGGGCUGCCCGGCAGUUAACAAACCCUUAUAAUUUGUCUGACUAUAUCGUAAAAAAUAUAAACAACUUUUGACAACGGAUCUCUUGGCUCUC